UACGUAGGGGGCAAGCGUUGUCCGGAUUUAUUGGGCGUAAAGAGCGUGUAGGCGGCCAGACAGGUCCGUUGUGAAAACUCGAGGCUCAACCUCGAGACGCCGAUGGAAACCGUCUGGCUAGAGUCCGGAAGAGGAGAGUGGAAUUCCUGGUGUAGCGGUGAAAUGCGCAGAUAUCAGGAAGAACACCCGUGGCUAAGGCGGCUCUCUAGUACGGUACUGACGCUGAGACGCGAAAGCGUGGGGAGCAAACAGG
This 253-nucleotide ribosomal RNA is filed under the name uncultured bacterium. RNAcentral's name for it is "partial 16S ribosomal RNA". It matches the Rfam family "Bacterial small subunit ribosomal RNA", at positions 524 to 776 of the family's 1533-position model. The record is from RNAcentral.